This 253-nucleotide ribosomal RNA is filed under the name uncultured bacterium. Its description in RNAcentral is "partial 16S ribosomal RNA". It matches the Rfam family "Bacterial small subunit ribosomal RNA", at positions 524 to 776 of the family's 1533-position model. The record is from RNAcentral.
CACGUAGGGCGCGAGCGUUGUCCGGAAUCAUUGGGCGUAAAGAGCUCGUAGGCGGCCUGUCGCGUCUGCUGUGAAAUCCCGGGGCUCAACCCCGGGCGUGCAGUGGAUACGGGCUGGCUGGAGGCAGGCAGGGGAGAACGGAAUUCCCGGUGUAGCGGUGAAAUGCGCAGAUAUCGGGAGGAACACCGGUGGCGAAGGCGGUUCUCUGGGCCUGUACUGACGCUGAGGAGCGAAAGCGUGGGGAGCGAACAGG